This 495-nucleotide ribosomal RNA is filed under the name uncultured bacterium. RNAcentral's name for it is "partial 16S ribosomal RNA". It matches the Rfam family "Bacterial small subunit ribosomal RNA", at positions 30 to 507 of the family's 1533-position model. The record is from RNAcentral.
UGAACGCUGGCGGCGUGCCUCAUACAUGCAAGUCGCGCGAACGGACGCGAAGCUUGCUUCUCUGAUGUUAGCGGCGGACGGGUGAGUAACACGUGGAUAACCUACCUAUAAGACUGGGAUAACUUCGGGAAACCGGAGCUAAUACCGGAUAAUAUUUUGAACCGCAUGGUUCAAAAGUGAAAGACGGUCUUGCUGUCACUUAUAGAUGGAUCCGCGCUGCAUUAGCUAGUUGGUAAGGUAACGGCUUACCAAGGCAACGAUGCAUAGCCGACCUGAGAGGGUGAUCGGCCACACUGGAACUGAGACACGGUCCAGACUCCUACGGGAGGCAGCAGUAGGGAAUCUUCCGCAAUGGGCGAAAGCCUGACGGAGCAACGCCGCGUGAGUGAUGAAGGUCUUCGGAUCGUAAAACUCUGUUAUUAGGGAAGAACAUAUGUGUAAGUAACUGUGCACAUCUUGACGGUACCUAAUCAGAAAGCCACGGCUAACUACGUG